UGAGGAAUAUUGCACAAUGGGCGAAAGCCUGAUGCAGCGACACCGCGUGAAGGAUGAAGGUCUUAGGAUUGUAAACUUCUGUUAAGUGGGAAAAAAGAACCGCCUCAAAUAAAGGCGGGUGAUGAUGGUACCACUAGAGAAAGCACCGGCUAACUUCGUGCCAGCAGCCGCGGUAAUACGAGGGGUGCAAACGUUAUUCGGAAUUACUGGGUGUAAAGGGUACGUAGACGGCAUAUUAAGUCAAUUGUUAAAUUCCCCAGCUUAACUGGGGGUAGGCGGUUGAAACUAAUAAGCUAGAGGAUGAGAGAGAGAAGUGGAAUUCUCGGAGUAGCGGUAAAAUGCGUAGAUCUCGAGAGGAACACCGAUGGCGAAGGCAGCUUCUUGGCUCAUUUCUGACGUUGAGGUACGAAAGCGUGGGGAGCAAACAGG
Molecule: ribosomal RNA, 429 nt
Filed under: uncultured bacterium
Lineage: Bacteria
Description: bacterial SSU rRNA
Rfam family: Bacterial small subunit ribosomal RNA
Source: RNAcentral